GGAAGUAAAAGGUAACAAGGUCUCCGUUGGUGAACCAGCGGAGGGAUCAUUACCAGAGUUUUACAACUCCCAACCCUUCUGUGAACCUACCUAUCGUUGCUUCGGCGGACUCGCCCCAGCGUCCGGACGGCCCCGCGCCGGCCCGCGACCUGGACCCAGGCGGCCGCCGGAGACCACACAAUCCUGUAUCCAUCAGUCUCUCUGAAUCCGCCGCAAGGCAAAACAAACGAAUCAAAACUUUCAACGAUGGAUCUCUUGGUUCUG
Molecule: unclassified non-coding RNA, 264 nt
Filed under: plant metagenome
Description: partial contains small subunit ribosomal RNA and internal transcribed spacer 1
Rfam family: Eukaryotic small subunit ribosomal RNA (bases 1-52)
Source: RNAcentral